Hyalella azteca is the source of this 252-nucleotide long non-coding RNA. RefSeq lists it as uncharacterized. The record is from RefSeq and is a predicted model, not a curated record. NCBI's taxonomy places the organism in Eukaryota, Metazoa, Arthropoda, Malacostraca, Amphipoda, Hyalellidae. The transcript is spliced from 2 exons.
CUCUCUCGAAGCGCUGCGUCAGUUGUUGUUUGGUGCAAAGUUGUAACUCCUAACGGAGAUCCCUCAUCUGCAAAACCUGCCUCAAAAAUGAACAAACUUGAUCAUGUUAGUGGUAAAGAAGUGAAGUCUCCUGAGACAGAAAUGAAAGUGAGUCCUGUUCCUACUAGUAUCUUUUUAAAGAAGGGAGCCCGGCCUAAGAUCUGCCUGCAGAUUUAUGGGAGAGACCUGGAGAAUGCAAGGAAGUUGGCGUUU